AACCCUUGACAUCCCUGUCGCGGUUACCAGAGAUGGUUUCCUUCAGUUCGGCUGGACAGGAGACAGGUGCUGCAUGGCUGUCGUCAGCUCGUGUCGUGAGAUGUUCGGUUAAGUCCGGCAACGAGCGCAACCCACAUCCUUAGUUGCCAGCAGUCCGGCUGGGCACUCUAGGGAAACUGCCCGUGAUAAGCGGGAGGAAGGUGUGGAUGACGUCAAGUCCUCAUGGCCCUUACGGGUUGGGCUACACACGUGCUACAAUGGUGGUGACAGUGGGUUAAUCCCCAAAAGCCAUCUCAGUUCGGAUUGUCGUCUGCAACUCGACGGCAUGAAGUCGGAAUCGCUAGUAAUCGCGGAACAGCAUGCCGCGGUGAAUACGUUCCCGGGCC
RNAcentral lists this ribosomal RNA (386 nucleotides) under uncultured bacterium. RNAcentral's name for it is "bacterial SSU rRNA". It matches the Rfam family "Bacterial small subunit ribosomal RNA", at positions 976 to 1380 of the family's 1533-position model. The record is from RNAcentral.